AUGGAUGGUGGGGGCGCUUCCUUGGGGGUCGUGGACGAUGAGCUCGUGACGCGGUCGCUCCUUCACUUGGGUCAACGCCCAGCGUCACCGACACUCCUGCAGGCUGGCCCCACGGUGGAGGAGGUGGCACCUGUGCCCAUGGGACCGGCACUAGCUGACGUGGGCAUGGGAAAUGCCAACAUGAAGCCUGCUGGUGGGCUCCCAAUCAAUGGGCCGGUGGGAGCCAUUAGCAACAUGCUUGCCAAUCUCGAUGAGCCAAUCACGCCUGCACUGCUGCCCAGGCCGACAGCUGCACGCCCCAGAGCGCCUCGCCGGGGACGCCAUUCGCCGGUGUCCAACCCACGCAGGAGCCGCCGCCUUGCUUCCUCCACCGCGGCCGCGCUGGGGGCAGUGGCUAGGGCGCAGAAGCUGAUCAUGCAGAAGCUUGGAAUCGAGACGGACAAUGAUGAUGCGAUGACCAGAUACACCAGCACCUUCGAUGAGCCGCUUUCCGAGCAUCAGAUCAAUGCCCUCACUGCGCUGGCCGAGGCGAAGGGAGGAAAGAAGCGCGUCAGCAAGAGGGGUCAGGGAAGCGGGGCUGCAGCACAGGAGGCGGCCUAA
RNAcentral lists this ribosomal RNA (600 nucleotides) under Triticum aestivum (bread wheat). RNAcentral's name for it is "partial small subunit ribosomal RNA". The record is from RNAcentral. Lineage: Eukaryota; Viridiplantae; Streptophyta; Magnoliopsida; Poales; Poaceae.